AACAACGAACUGCAAGAAGUCAGCAGAGGCCAUAGUACCGAAAACGGGAAGGG
Molecule: non-coding RNA, 53 nt
Filed under: bovine gut metagenome
Source: RNAcentral